This 499-nucleotide ribosomal RNA is filed under the name uncultured bacterium. RNAcentral's name for it is "partial 16S ribosomal RNA". It matches the Rfam family "Bacterial small subunit ribosomal RNA", at positions 28 to 507 of the family's 1533-position model. The record is from RNAcentral.
GACGAACGCUGGCGGCGUGCUUAACACAUGCAAGUCGAACGGGCCCGCUCUCUUUUUUGGGGGUGGGUUGAGUGGCGAACGGGUGAGUAUCACGUGAGUAACCUGCCCCCUGCUCCUGGAUAACUGCUUGAAAGGGCGGCUAAUACGGGGUGUGCCGGCUGGUCCGCAUGGGCCUGGUCGGGAUAGUUUCAUCUUCGGGUGUUUCGGUGGGGGAUGGGCUCGCGGCCUAUCAGCUUGUUGGUGGGGUGAUUGCCCACCAAGGCGGUGACGGGUAGCCGGCCUGAGAGGGUGGGCGGCCACACUGGGACUGAGACACGGCCCAGACUCCUGCGGGAGGCAGCAGUGGGGGGUAUUGCACAAUGGGCGGAAGCCUGAUGCAGCGACGGCGCGUGAGGGAUGGAGGCCUUCGGGUUGUGAACCUCUUUCUCCGGUGGUGAAGGCCCUGUCCGUUGCGGCGGGGUUGACGGUAGCCGGGUAUGAAGCGCCGGCUAACUACGUG